Molecule: non-coding RNA, 31 nt
Filed under: Mus musculus (house mouse)
Lineage: Eukaryota; Metazoa; Chordata; Mammalia; Rodentia; Muridae
Source: RNAcentral
UGUUAGUUUGCUGUAGAACUUGUUACUCCUU